Molecule: long non-coding RNA, 500 nt
Organism: Pseudopipra pipra
Lineage: Eukaryota; Metazoa; Chordata; Aves; Passeriformes; Pipridae
Exons: 2
Source: RefSeq, a predicted model, not a curated record
ACGAGGGGCAGUCCUGGGGCUGCCCCAGCCCCGGCCACCCCGGGCAGGGCCUUGCCUCCCUCUGCCAGCCCUGCCCACGCAGCGGGGCUUGGUGGCCGCCUUGCUCAGUCCCACUGCCCUGAGCUUCUGGGGGCUCCUGGGCUCAGCCCUGCUGAGGGGGAGGAGGGUAGGUCUGGGGGCCCUGCUGCUGGGAGCAGGCUGGGGAGCAGGGGCUAAUGGAGCUCUGUGCCCAGGACUCAUCACACGGCGCCUGAGGGAGCAGACCACAGAGAGUCAGGCUGACAUCCUGAGCGCACUUCAGCCCUUGGAGAAUGACUGGGACAUCUCUGUCAGCUCCCUGGCAGCUCGGACAACCUCCAUUCUGAGGAGUCCUUGCGUGCAGCAAAGACCAAGAGGCCUCCUGCGAGCACUGCGCUGCUGCUGGCCGUGAGCCCGGCAGAGGUGCAGCUUGCCUUGGCUAAAGGACUGGGGCUGAAUAAAGCUGCAACAACGUGCCCAAA